AGACGUAGGGGGCGAGCGUUGUCCGGAAUUACUGGGCGUAAAGGGCGUGUAGGCGGCCUUUCAAGUCGGCUGUGAAAUACCCCGGCUCAACCGGGGGGGUGCAGUCGAAACUGGGGGGCUUGAGUGCAGGAGAGGAGGGUGGAAUUCCCGGUGGAGCGGUGAUAUGCGUAGAUAUCGGGAGGAACACCGGUGGCGAAGGCGACCUUCUGGCCUGUUACUGACGCUGAGGCGCGAAAGCCGGGGGAGCAAACAGGAUUAGAUACCCUGGUAGUCCCGGCCGUAAACGCUGGGUACUAGGUGUAGGGGGCUUUGAUGCCUUCUGUGCCGUAGUUAACACAUUAAGUACCCCGCCUGGGGAGUACGGCCGCAAGGCUGAA
Molecule: ribosomal RNA, 377 nt
Filed under: uncultured bacterium
Lineage: Bacteria
Description: partial 16S ribosomal RNA
Rfam family: Bacterial small subunit ribosomal RNA
Source: RNAcentral